This is a small nucleolar RNA of Archocentrus centrarchus (flier cichlid), 134 nucleotides long. RefSeq annotates it as small nucleolar RNA SNORA5. The transcript has a single exon. The record is from RefSeq and is a predicted model, not a curated record. NCBI's taxonomy places the organism in Eukaryota, Metazoa, Chordata, Actinopteri, Cichliformes, Cichlidae.
UGCACCUUAGUUAAGUUGCAGCCGGUCCCUCCGCGGCUCCGGCUGCUGCCAGAGAGGUGCGUUUACUGCUGCCUGGUCAUCUGGACUCUGUUUGCAUGUCCAAAAGUCAUGGAUAAACUAGCCGGCGAACAAAC